GAUGAACGCUGGCGGCGUGCCUAAUACAUGCAAGUCGAGCGAACGGACGAGAAGCUUGCUUCUCUGAUUUUAGCGGCGGACGGGUGAGUAACACGUGGAUAACCUACCUAUAAGACUGGGAUAACUUCGUGAAACCGGAGCUAAUACCGGAUAAUAUUUUGAACCGCAUGGUUCAAAAGUGAAAGACGGUCUUGCUGUCACUUAUAGAUGGAUCCGCGCUGCAUUAGCUAGUUGGUAAGGUAACGGCUUACCAAGUCAACGAUGCAUAGCCGACCUGAGAGGGUGAUCGGCCACACUGGAAAUUAGACACGGUCCAGACUCCUAAGGGAGGCAGCCGUAGGGAAUCUUCCGAAAUGGGCGAAAGCCUGACGGAGCACCGCCGCGUGAGUGAUGAAGGUCUUCGGAUCGUAAAACUCUGUUAUUAGGGAAGAACAUAUGUGUAAGUAACUGUGCACAUCUUGACGGUACCUAAUCAGAAAGCCACGGCUAACUACGUG
This 497-nucleotide ribosomal RNA is filed under the name uncultured bacterium. RNAcentral describes it as "partial 16S ribosomal RNA". It matches the Rfam family "Bacterial small subunit ribosomal RNA", at positions 28 to 507 of the family's 1533-position model. The record is from RNAcentral.